This 499-nucleotide ribosomal RNA is filed under the name uncultured Glomeromycotina. RNAcentral's name for it is "partial small subunit ribosomal RNA". It matches the Rfam family "Eukaryotic small subunit ribosomal RNA", at positions 591 to 1092 of the family's 1831-position model. Lineage: Eukaryota; Fungi; Glomeromycota. The record is from RNAcentral.
CCAAUAGCGUAUAUUAAAGUUGUUGCAGUUAAAAAGCUCGUAGUUGAAUUUCGGGAUCAAUAUGUUGGUCGUGCCUCGGUACGUACUAGCAUAUUGGUUUCUCCUUUCUGAAGAACCAUGAUGUCAUUUAUUUUGGUGUCGUGGGGAAUCAGGACUGUUACUUUGAAAAAAUUAGAGUGUUUAAAGCAGGCUCACGCUUGAAUACAUUAGCAUGGAAUAAUGCAAUAGGACGUUUGAUUCUAUUUUGUUGGUUUCUAGGAUCGACGUAAUGAUUAAUAGGGAUAGUUGGGGGCAUUAGUAUUCAAUUGUCAGAGGUGAAAUUCUUGGAUUUAUUGAAGACUAACUACUGCGAAAGCAUUUGCCAAGGAUGUUUUCAUUGAUCAAGAACGAAAGUUAGGGGAUCGAAGACGAUCAGAUACCGUCGUAGUCUUAACCAUAAACUAUGCCGACUAGGGAUCGGAUGAUGUUAAUUUUUUAAUGACUCAUUCGGCGCCUUACG